Molecule: ribosomal RNA, 1540 nt
Filed under: Klebsiella pneumoniae
Lineage: Bacteria; Pseudomonadati; Pseudomonadota; Gammaproteobacteria; Enterobacterales; Enterobacteriaceae
Description: bacterial SSU rRNA
Rfam family: Bacterial small subunit ribosomal RNA
Source: RNAcentral
AAAUUGAAGAGUUUGAUCAUGGCUCAGAUUGAACGCUGGCGGCAGGCCUAACACAUGCAAGUCGAGCGGUAGCACAGAGAGCUUGCUCUCGGGUGACGAGCGGCGGACGGGUGAGUAAUGUCUGGGAAACUGCCUGAUGGAGGGGGAUAACUACUGGAAACGGUAGCUAAUACCGCAUAACGUCGCAAGACCAAAGUGGGGGACCUUCGGGCCUCAUGCCAUCAGAUGUGCCCAGAUGGGAUUAGCUAGUAGGUGGGGUAAUGGCUCACCUAGGCGACGAUCCCUAGCUGGUCUGAGAGGAUGACCAGCCACACUGGAACUGAGACACGGUCCAGACUCCUACGGGAGGCAGCAGUGGGGAAUAUUGCACAAUGGGCGCAAGCCUGAUGCAGCCAUGCCGCGUGUGUGAAGAAGGCCUUCGGGUUGUAAAGCACUUUCAGCGGGGAGGAAGGCGAUAAGGUUAAUAACCUUGUCGAUUGACGUUACCCGCAGAAGAAGCACCGGCUAACUCCGUGCCAGCAGCCGCGGUAAUACGGAGGGUGCAAGCGUUAAUCGGAAUUACUGGGCGUAAAGCGCACGCAGGCGGUCUGUCAAGUCGGAUGUGAAAUCCCCGGGCUCAACCUGGGAACUGCAUUCGAAACUGGCAGGCUAGAGUCUUGUAGAGGGGGGUAGAAUUCCAGGUGUAGCGGUGAAAUGCGUAGAGAUCUGGAGGAAUACCGGUGGCGAAGGCGGCCCCCUGGACAAAGACUGACGCUCAGGUGCGAAAGCGUGGGGAGCAAACAGGAUUAGAUACCCUGGUAGUCCACGCCGUAAACGAUGUCGAUUUGGAGGUUGUGCCCUUGAGGCGUGGCUUCCGGAGCUAACGCGUUAAAUCGACCGCCUGGGGAGUACGGCCGCAAGGUUAAAACUCAAAUGAAUUGACGGGGGCCCGCACAAGCGGUGGAGCAUGUGGUUUAAUUCGAUGCAACGCGAAGAACCUUACCUGGUCUUGACAUCCACAGAACUUUCCAGAGAUGGAUUGGUGCCUUCGGGAACUGUGAGACAGGUGCUGCAUGGCUGUCGUCAGCUCGUGUUGUGAAAUGUUGGGUUAAGUCCCGCAACGAGCGCAACCCUUAUCCUUUGUUGCCAGCGGUUCGGCCGGGAACUCAAAGGAGACUGCCAGUGAUAAACUGGAGGAAGGUGGGGAUGACGUCAAGUCAUCAUGGCCCUUACGACCAGGGCUACACACGUGCUACAAUGGCAUAUACAAAGAGAAGCGACCUCGCGAGAGCAAGCGGACCUCAUAAAGUAUGUCGUAGUCCGGAUUGGAGUCUGCAACUCGACUCCAUGAAGUCGGAAUCGCUAGUAAUCGUAGAUCAGAAUGCUACGGUGAAUACGUUCCCGGGCCUUGUACACACCGCCCGUCACACCAUGGGAGUGGGUUGCAAAAGAAGUAGGUAGCUUAACCUUAGGGAGGGCGCUUACCACUUUGUGAUUCAUGACUGGGGUGAAGUCGUAACAAGGUAACCGUAGGGGAACCUGCGGUUGGAUCACCUCCUUA